Molecule: ribosomal RNA, 301 nt
Filed under: uncultured bacterium
Lineage: Bacteria
Description: partial 16S ribosomal RNA
Rfam family: Bacterial small subunit ribosomal RNA
Source: RNAcentral
CAGCAGCCGCGGUAACACGUAGGUCCCGAGCGUUGUCCGGAUUUAUUGGGCGUAAAGCGAGCGCAGGCGGUUAGAUAAGUCUGAAGUUAAAGGCUGUGGCUUAACCAUAGUACGCUUUGGAAACUGUUUAACUUGAGUGCAAGAGGGGAGAGUGGAAUUCCAUGUGUAGCGGUGAAAUGCGUAGAUAUAUGGAGGAACACCGGUGGCGAAAGCGGCUCUCUGGCUUGUAACUGACGCUGAGGCUCGAAAGCGUGGGGAGCAAACAGGAUUAGAUACCCCGGUAGUCCCUGUCUCUUAUACC